AGUGGCGGACGGGUGAGUAACACAUGGGUCACCUACCCCCAAGUGCGGAAUACCGGCGAGAAAUCGCUGACAAUACCGCAUAUGCCGCCAGCAAAGUCGCGCUUGGGGAUGGGCCUGUGGCCGAUUAGCUCGUUGGUGGGGUAAUGGCCUACCAAGGCGACGAUCGGUAGCUGGUCUGAGAGGAUGAUCAGCCACAUUGGGAUUGAGAACGGCCCAGACUCCUACGGGAGGCAGCAGUGAGGAAUUUUCCGCAAUGGACGCAAGUCUGACGGAGCAACGCCGCGUGCAGGACGAAGGUCUUCGGAUCGUAAACUGCUUUUCUCGGGGAUGAAUGACAGUACCCGAGGAAUCAGCCUCGGCUAACUACGUGCCA
Molecule: ribosomal RNA, 373 nt
Filed under: uncultured soil bacterium
Lineage: Bacteria
Description: bacterial SSU rRNA
Rfam family: Bacterial small subunit ribosomal RNA
Source: RNAcentral